UUUAUAUUUUAACAUAUUUGUUUAUAAAUCUUACCUUGAAAUAUAUGAUAUGCACUAAGAAAAAUCUAAAGAAUAAAGAAAAUUUAUAGUCAGUUAGAUCCAAAAGUCACAACUUUUAAUUUGUGGCUUGAUUUUUAGAUCUGAUACUCCUCUAGCAUUGAAAGUUCUGAUCAAAUAAUUUAAAAAUAUUAUUCACCUUCUGUUGUGGAAAAAUUUAGAACAAAGAAAGAGAAUCCCAAUCCAGAUCAUGGUUUCGGUUGGAUCAUAAGUCGAAUCUAACAUCUCGGAUC
This 290-nucleotide long non-coding RNA is filed under the name Elaeis guineensis (African oil palm). Its description in RNAcentral is "long non-coding RNA (EGUI_LNC015148)". Lineage: Eukaryota; Viridiplantae; Streptophyta; Magnoliopsida; Arecales; Arecaceae. The record is from RNAcentral.